This 30-nucleotide non-coding RNA is filed under the name Mus musculus (house mouse). Lineage: Eukaryota; Metazoa; Chordata; Mammalia; Rodentia; Muridae. The record is from RNAcentral.
UNUGUUUUCAGAGUUAACCCAGAAGCACUG